This 411-nucleotide unclassified non-coding RNA is filed under the name soil metagenome. Its description in RNAcentral is "partial contains 5.8S ribosomal RNA, internal transcribed spacer 2, and large subunit ribosomal RNA". The stretch from base 1 to 114 matches the Rfam family "5.8S ribosomal RNA", at positions 35 to 154 of the family's 154-position model. The record is from RNAcentral.
GAUGAAGAACGUAGCGAAUUGCGAUAAGUAAUGUGAAUUGCAGAAUUACGUGAAUCAUCGAAUUUUUGAACGCAAAUUGCACUCUCUUCGGGGAGUAUGCCUGUUUGAGGGUCAGUAAAAAAAAAAUUAUCAUGAAUACUUUUUGAAUUCAUGGAAUUGGAUUCUUUCAAAGGUUUUUUUUCCUUUGAUGAUCUCAAAUUUUUUUGUCUAAAUUAGGCUAUAUUAAAUUGAACUAAAAAGAGCAAUUAUAUUCAAUAAAUAUUAUCUCGAAUUUUAGCGAUAUUUAUUUAGUCAAAUUAUGAUAUUUUAGCAAUGUAAAUAAAAAUGAUAAAAUGUCAUAAAAAUAUUUAACAUUGACCUCAAAUCAGGUAAGAAUACCCGCUGAACUUAAGCAUAUCAAUAAGCGGAGGA